Molecule: unclassified non-coding RNA, 2414 nt
Filed under: Leishmania donovani
Lineage: Eukaryota; Euglenozoa; Kinetoplastea; Trypanosomatida; Trypanosomatidae
Description: gene:LdHU3.05.0400(CDS-product:trypanothione_redu ctase)
Source: RNAcentral
AAAAGAGUGUCGUCAUCUAUCUCUCUCUUUACACUCCUACACACACACACACACACACACGUGAGCCUUGAUCCAUCAUUGCGCCUUCUACUUCGCUAUACGCAAACGCGCUCAGACGUUCACGGACACCACCGCCACCGCAGCCGCAGCAGCCGAAAGCCGCACGUAGGAAUGCAGGCGAGCCUUACCACGAAGAUUGUCUGAUCAGCCCGUCUUUAUCUCUCGCUCCCAUCGUUGUAUAUACAUUGCAGCGAGUCUUGCUGCUGGCGUUCUCUGCUCCGUGUGUGCCCACUCGCGCGCCGUUGGAGUUGUUCGCCGCGAACUCGCGCAGCCUCCCCCUCCCCUCACCCUCUCGCGAAAAUUCUUCGCUUCUCUCAACGGCUGAUGUCCCGCGCGUACGACCUCGUGGUGCUUGGCGCCGGAUCUGGAGGUCUGGAGGCGGGAUGGAACGCGGCCGUCACGCACAAGAAGAAGGUGGCCGUCGUCGAUGUGCAGGCGACGCACGGUCCGCCGCUCUUCGCUGCGCUCGGCGGCACGUGCGUGAACGUCGGCUGCGUGCCAAAGAAACUCAUGGUGACAGGUGCCCAGUACAUGGACCUGAUCCGUGAGUCUGGCGGCUUCGGAUGGGAGAUGGACCGCGAAUCGCUCUGCCCCAACUGGAAGACGCUCAUCGCCGCGAAGAACAAGGUGGUGAACAGCAUCAACGAGAGCUACAAGAGCAUGUUCGCUGAUACGGAGGGCCUCAGCUUUCACAUGGGCUUCGGUGCCCUUCAAGACGCUCACACGGUGGUGGUGCGCAAGUCGGAAGACCCACACAGCGACGUGCUGGAGACCCUCGACACGGAGUACAUCCUCAUUGCCACCGGCUCCUGGCCGACGCGCCUCGGAGUCCCCGGCGACGAGUUCUGCAUCACGAGCAACGAGGCCUUCUACCUCGAGGAUGCCCCCAAGCGGAUGCUGUGCGUCGGCGGCGGCUACAUCGCCGUUGAGUUUGCCGGCAUCUUCAACGGCUACAAGCCCUGCGGUGGCUAUGUCGACCUGUGCUACCGCGGCGAUCUUAUUUUGCGCGGCUUCGAUACAGAGGUGCGCAAGAGCCUGACGAAGCAGCUGGGGGCGAACGGAAUAAGAGUGCGUACAAACUUGAACCCGACGAAGAUCACGAAGAAUGAGGACGGCUCGAAUCACGUUCACUUCAACGAUGGCACGGAGGAGGACUACGAUCAGGUCAUGCUCGCGAUCGGUCGCGUGCCGCGCUCGCAGGCACUACAGCUCGACAAGGCCGGCGUCCGAACAGGAAAGAACGGUGCCGUGCAGGUCGACGCGUAUUCGAAGACAUCGGUGGACAACAUCUACGCCAUCGGCGACGUGACGAACCGCGUGAUGUUGACGCCGGUGGCCAUCAACGAAGGCGGCGCCUUCGUUGAAACCGUCUUCGGUGGCAAGCCCCGCGCCACCGACCACACGAAGGUCGCGUGCGCCGUGUUCUCCAUACCGCCGAUCGGCACGUGCGGCAUGACGGAGGAGGAGGCGGCGAAGAACUACGAAACCGUCGCCGUGUACGCGAGCUCCUUCACGCCCCUUAUGCACAACAUCAGCGGCAGCAAGCACAAGGAAUUCAUGAUCCGCAUCAUCACGAACGAAUCCAACGGCGAGGUUCUGGGUGUUCACAUGCUCGGCGACAGUGCGCCUGAGAUCAUCCAGAGCGUCGGCAUUUGCAUGAAGAUGGGUGCCAAGAUCAGCGACUUCCACAGCACCAUCGGAGUCCACCCGACGAGCGCCGAGGAGCUCUGCUCCAUGCGCACUCCAGCGUACUUCUACGAGAGUGGCAAGCGCGUCGAAAAGCUCAGCAGCAACCUCUGAAGAGGGAGGAGAGAUGAAGAAGAACGCCUCAGCCCUUCCACCUAGCCGUGAUGCACGGGUAUCACAGACCAGCAGGCAUGCAGAGAUGGAAAGGGGAAGAGGUCAGCAGGCAGUGACGUCUGAUCUCCUUCAGCGUCGGUCGCUUCGGCCGCUUCCUCUCCGACCUCCCCCCACCACCACCACUGCCACCACUCCUCCUCUCCGCAUAACCUAUCAGCAGUCGCGCACGCCUCAUCAAUACGCACGCACACCCGCCGGUGGCGGGGCGCAGGAUGGAGAAGGGCAGCGGAUGGAGCUUCCCUUCUCCCACGCCCUUUUCACCCCACCGCGCCGUGCGGGUUUUGUGGUUUGUGCGUGUGUUUGUGCUUUCUAGUGGGGAGAAAGGCCUCUCCGCAUCGUUCAACUAUUUCGCUCUGCGUGUGAGCACGCGUGCGCACUUGCGCGUUCGCGUGCUCGUUCCUUUCUUGCCUUCUUUCGCCCUCCGCGUGCGUGCGUGCGUGCUCUCCCAUAUAUAUUAUUCUGGUUUCCAUUCCGUGUACUCUUGUGUUCUUAGG